ACUAAUUCUAGCCCUAUCACCUUACAACCUAAAUACACCCUAACAUAGACUAAAACAUUUAGACUAAUCUAAAGUAUUGGAGAAAGAAAUUAUUUACAGGAGCUAUAGAGAAAGUACCGAAAGGGAAAGAUGAAAGACUAAUUAAAAGUAAAAAAAAGCAAAGAUUAACCCUUGUACCUUUUGCAUAAUGAAUUAACUAGAAAAAAUUUAACUAAAAGAAUUAAAGCUAAAAAUCCCGAAACCAAACGAGCUACCUAAGAACAAUUAUAUGAAUCAACCCGUCUAUGUAGCAAAAUAGUGGGACGAUUUUUAGGUAGAGGUGAAAAGCCUAACGAGCUUGGUGAUAGCUGGUUGCCCAAAAAAUGAAUGUUAGUUCAACUUUAAAUUUACCUCAAGAACUACAAAUCCAAACGUAAAUUUAAAUUAUAGCCAAAAGAGGGACAGCUCUUUAGGAACGGAAAAAACCUUUAAUAGUGAAUAAACCCAAACUCAACUUAACCAUUGUAGGCCUAAAAGCAGCCAUCAAUAAAGAAAGCGUUCAAGCUCAACAUUAUAAUCUAUCAAUUCAACUAUCCAAAAUAAAUUCCUAUAUUUAAAUUGGGUUAAUCUAUAAUUAUAUAGAUGAAAUACUGUUAAUAUGAGUAACAAGAAAUAAUUCUCCAGGCACAAGCAUAUAACAACUCGGAUAACCAUUGUUAGUUAUAGAAAAAUAGACAAUAAACCCCCAAUAAAAUUGCCUAAAAUUAUAAUCGUUAAUCCAACACAGGAGUGCCACAAGGAAAGAUUAAAAAGAAUAAAAGGAACUCGGCAAACACGAACCCCGCCUGUUUACCAAAAACAUCACCUCUAGCAUUACAAGUAUUAGAGGCAUUGCCUGCCCAGUGACUAAAGUUAAACGGCCGCGGUAUCCUGACCGUGCAAAGGUAGCAUAAUCACUUGUUCCUUAAUUAGGGACUAGCAUGAAUGGCUGAACGAGGGUUCAACUGUCUCUUAUUCUCAAUCAGUGAAAUUGACCUUCCAGUGAAGAGGCUGGAAUAAAAUAAUAAGACGAGAAGACCCUAUGGAGCUUAAAUUAACUAGCUUAAUUAUCAAAACUAUAACCUAAUGGACCAAAAAUAAAAAUAUAAGCUAAAAAUUUCGGUUGGGGUGACCUCGGAGAACAAUACAACCUCCGAAUGAUUUUAGCAUAGACUAACAAGUCAAAGCAAUAAAUUUAAUCUUAUUGACCCAAAAUAUUUUGAUCAACGGACCAAGUUACCCUAGGGAUAACAGCGCAAUCCUAUUUAAGAGUUCAUAUCGACAAUAAGGGUUUACGACCUCGAUGUUGGAUCAGGACAUCCCAAUGGUGCAGAAGCUAUUAAUGGUUCGUUUGUUCAACGAUUAAAGUCCUACGUGAUCUGAGUUCAGACCGGAGCAAUCCAGGUCGGUUUCUAUCUAUUAACAAUUUCUCCCAGUACGAAAGGACAAGAGAAAUAGAGCCACCUUAACAAUAAGCGCUCUAAACAUAACUUAUGAAUAAAAUCUCAAUACAAUACUUAUGUACAAUAAUCGCACCUAGACAAGGUA
This 1566-nucleotide ribosomal RNA is filed under the name Typomys trivirgatus (West African Hybomys). Its description in RNAcentral is "Hybomys trivirgatus (West African Hybomys) 16S ribosomal RNA". It matches the Rfam family "Bacterial large subunit ribosomal RNA", at positions 361 to 2925 of the family's 2925-position model. Lineage: Eukaryota; Metazoa; Chordata; Mammalia; Rodentia; Muridae. The record is from RNAcentral.